RNAcentral lists this transfer RNA (67 nucleotides) under Marmota monax (woodchuck). RNAcentral describes it as "tRNA.Ala". The record is from RNAcentral. Lineage: Eukaryota; Metazoa; Chordata; Mammalia; Rodentia; Sciuridae.
GGUUGUGGCUCAGUGGUAGAGUGCUCGCCUAGCACAUAGGAGGCACUGGGUUCAAACCUCAGCACCA